GAUGAACGCUAGCGACAGGCUUAACACAUGCAAGUCGAGGGGCAGCAUGAUUUGUAGCAAUACAGAUUGAUGGCGACCGGCGCACGGGUGAGUAACGCGUAUGCAACUUACCUAUCAGAGGGGGAUAGCCCGGCGAAAGUCGGAUUAAUACCCCAUAAAACAGGGGUCCCGCAUGGGAAUAUUUGUUAAAGAUUCAUCGCUGAUAGAUAGGCAUGCGUUCCAUUAGGCAGUUGGCGGGGUAACGGCCCAC
This 250-nucleotide ribosomal RNA is filed under the name uncultured bacterium. RNAcentral's name for it is "partial 16S ribosomal RNA". It matches the Rfam family "Bacterial small subunit ribosomal RNA", at positions 28 to 268 of the family's 1533-position model. The record is from RNAcentral.